GGGCGAUUAGCUCAGUUGGUCAGAGCAUCCGGUUUACACCCGGAAGGUCGAUGGUUCGAGCCCAUUAUCGCCCA
RNAcentral lists this transfer RNA (74 nucleotides) under Planctomycetia bacterium. RNAcentral describes it as "tRNA-Val". It matches the Rfam family "tRNA". Rfam says of the family: Transfer RNA (tRNA) molecules are approximately 80 nucleotides in length. Their secondary structure includes four short double-helical elements and three loops (D, anti-codon, and T loops). Further hydrogen bonds mediate the characteristic L-shaped molecular structure. tRNAs have two regions of fundamental functional importance: the anti-codon, which is responsible for specific mRNA codon recognition, and the 3' end, to which the tRNAs corresponding amino acid is attached (by aminoacyl-tRNA synthetases). tRNAs cope with the degeneracy of the genetic code in two manners: having more than one tRNA (with a specific anti-codon) for a particular amino acid; and 'wobble' base-pairing, i.e. permitting non-standard base-pairing at the 3rd anti-codon position. The record is from RNAcentral. Lineage: Bacteria; Pseudomonadati; Planctomycetota; Planctomycetia.